GAUGAACGCUGGCGGCGUGCCUAAUACAUGCAAGUCGAGCGAACAGACGAGGAGCUUGCUCCUCUGACGUUAGCGGCGGACGGGUGAGUAACACGUGGAUAACCUACCUAUAAGACUGGGAUAACUUCGGGAAACCGGAGCUAAUACCGGAUAAUAUAUUGAACCGCAUGGUUCAAUAGUGAAAGACGGUUUUGCUGUCACUUAUAGAUGGAUCCGCGCCGCAUUAGCUAGUUGGUAAGGUAACGGCUUACCAAGGCAACGAUGCGUAGCCGACCUGAGAGGGUGAUCGGCCACACUGGAACUGAGACACGGUCCAGACUCCGACGGGCGGCAGCAGUAGGGAAUCUUCCGCAAUGGGCGAAAGCCUGACGGAGCAACGCCGCGUGAGUGAUGAAGGUCUUCGGAUCGUAAAACCCUGUUAUUAGGGAAGAACAAAUGUGUAAGUAACUAUGCACGUCUUGACGGUACCAAACCAGAAAGCCACGGCUAACUACGU
This 496-nucleotide ribosomal RNA is filed under the name uncultured bacterium. Its description in RNAcentral is "partial 16S ribosomal RNA". It matches the Rfam family "Bacterial small subunit ribosomal RNA", at positions 28 to 506 of the family's 1533-position model. The record is from RNAcentral.